GUCACUGCUAUUGGGAUUCGACUAAGCCAUGCGAGUCGCGAGGGUUCGGCCCUCGGCUGACGGCUCAGUAACACGCGGAUAAUCUGCCCUUAGGUGGAGGAUAAUCUCGGGAAACUGAGAAUAAUAUUCCAUAGAUUUAGGAUGCUGGAAUGCACUUAAAUUAAAAGCUUCGGCGCCUAAGGAUGAGUCUGCGGACUAUCAGGUUGUAGUCAGGGUAACGACCUGACUAGCCUACGACGGAUACGGGUUGUGAGAGCAAUAACCCGGAGAUGAUAUCUGAGACACGAUAUCAGGCCCUACGGGGCGCAGCAGGCGCGAAAACUUCGCAAUGUGCGAAAGCACGACGAGGGAAUCCCAAGUGCUGGCUCGUUAGAGUCAGCUGUUUUUAUGUCUAAAAAGCAUAGAGAGUAAGGGCUGGGUAAGACGGGUGCCAGCCGCCGCGGUAAUACCUGCAGCUCAAGUGGUGGCCACUAUUAUUGGGCCUAAAACGUCCGUAGCCUGUUUAUUAAAUGCCUAGGUAAAUUGUGUGGCUUAACCAUACGAAUUCUGGGUAGACUGGUAAACUUGAGACCGGGAGAAGCUAGAGGUACUUCUGGGGUAGAGGUGAAAUUCUGUAAUCCUAGGGGGACCACCAGUGGCGAAAGCGUCUAGCUAGAACGGGUUUGACGGUGAGGGACGAAGCCCUGGGGCGCAAACGGGAUUAGAUACCCCGGUAGUCCAGGGUGUAAACGCUGCUUGCUUGAUGUUGGUUGGGCUCCGAGCCCAAUCAGUGUCGGAGAGAAGUUGUUAAGCAAGCUGCCUGGGAAUUACGGUCGCAAGACUGAAACUUAAAGGAAUUGGCGGGGGAGC
RNAcentral lists this ribosomal RNA (849 nucleotides) under uncultured archaeon. Its description in RNAcentral is "bacterial SSU rRNA". It matches the Rfam family "Archaeal small subunit ribosomal RNA", at positions 23 to 877 of the family's 1478-position model. The record is from RNAcentral.